GCCCAUGUAGCUCAGUCGGUAGAGCGUUAGGCUUUUAACCUGAAUGUCCAGGGUUCGACCCCCUGCGUGGGCG
RNAcentral lists this transfer RNA (73 nucleotides) under Trichuris suis (pig whipworm). It matches the Rfam family "tRNA". Rfam says of the family: Transfer RNA (tRNA) molecules are approximately 80 nucleotides in length. The record is from Rfam by way of RNAcentral. Lineage: Eukaryota; Metazoa; Nematoda; Enoplea; Trichinellida; Trichuridae.